Molecule: ribosomal RNA, 255 nt
Filed under: uncultured bacterium
Lineage: Bacteria
Description: partial 16S ribosomal RNA
Rfam family: Bacterial small subunit ribosomal RNA
Source: RNAcentral
CACGUAGGGCGCGAGCGUUGUCCGGAAUUAUUGGGCGUAAAGAGCUCGUAGGCGGCCUGUUGCGUCCGCUGUGAAAGCCCGGGGCUUAACCCCGGGUCUGCAGUGGAUACGGGCAGGCUAGAGGUAGGUAGGGGAGAAUGGAAUUCCCGGUGUAGCGGUGAAAUGCGCAGAUAUCGGGAGGAACACCGGUGGCGAAGGCGGUUCUCUGGGCCUUACCUGACGCUGAGGAGCGAAAGCGUGGGGAGCGAAACAGGG